GACGAACGCUGGCGGCGUGCCUAAUACAUGCAAGUAGAACGCUGAAGGAGGAGCUUGCUCUUCUGGAUGAGUUGCGAACGGGUGAGUAACGCGUAGGUAACCUGCCUGGUAGCGGGGGAUAACUAUUGGAAACGAUAGCUAAUACCGCAUAAAAUUGAUUAUUGCAUGAUAGUCAAUUAAAAGGUGCAAUUGCAUCACUACCAGAUGGACCUGCGUUGUAUUAGCUAGUUGGUGAGGUAACGGCUCACCAAGGCAACGAUACAUAGCCGACCUGAGAGGGUGAUCGGCCACACUGGGACUGAGACACGGCCCAGACUCCUACGGGAGGCAGCAGUAGGGAAUCUUCGGCAAUAGACGGAAGUCUGACCGAGCAACGCCGCGUGAGUGAAGAAGGUUUUCGGAUCGUAAAGCUCUGUUGUAAGAGAAGAACGAGUGUGAGAGUGGAAAGUUCACACUGUGACGGUAGCUUACCAGAAAGGGACGGCUAACUACGUG
RNAcentral lists this ribosomal RNA (495 nucleotides) under uncultured bacterium. RNAcentral describes it as "partial 16S ribosomal RNA". It matches the Rfam family "Bacterial small subunit ribosomal RNA", at positions 28 to 507 of the family's 1533-position model. The record is from RNAcentral.